AAGUGUCAAACCAUAAACUUUCAUUCUUAAAGGCAUUAAAGUCUCUUAACUUUUACAUACCAAACAAUCUGAAAGCAUUCGAAUAACUAGAUUUACCAGAAAUAGAGUGAACCCAAAUCAAAUUUAACUACCAAAAAGAUGACAAUCCAAUGCUAUCACAAACAUAUGUGAACGAUAAAGCAACCAAUAAUAGAACAUGCUCAGGACAACUAGUUAACCAAAAGCAACCCUCCUCCUUUAUCCGGGCUUGGGACCGGCUAUGCUGUGUACUAAC
Molecule: long non-coding RNA, 274 nt
Filed under: Panax ginseng (ginseng)
Lineage: Eukaryota; Viridiplantae; Streptophyta; Magnoliopsida; Apiales; Araliaceae
Description: long non-coding RNA (PGIN_LNC015008)
Source: RNAcentral